RNAcentral lists this long non-coding RNA (3318 nucleotides) under Sus scrofa (pig). RNAcentral describes it as "lncRNA (ENSSSCG00060042390.1)". Lineage: Eukaryota; Metazoa; Chordata; Mammalia; Artiodactyla; Suidae. The record is from RNAcentral.
AAGACCAGUUCUAAGGGAUUUCCCUAGUUCAUUCCUGAUCUUUCUUUUCCUAACUCUCGUCUCCAUUUAAGACUUUAAGUCUUUUUUUCUAAAUUUAUUUAUUUAUUUAUUUCCUUUUUAUUUAUUUAUUUAUUUUUCCUGCUCUACAGCUUGGGGACCAAGUUACACAUACAUGUAUACAUACUUUUUCCUCCCAUUGUUGUGUUUCAAUGUAAGUAUCAAGACAUAGUUCCCAAGACUACACAGCAGGAUCUCAUUGUAAAUCCAUCUCUUAAAGUCUUAAAUUCUCCAGCCAUUAAGUCUUCUCCCAAUAGGGUGUUCUGGAAUCUGAACCUAGUGGCCCAGAAGGAACGCCCAGUAUGUGUGUUAUAAGGUGGAGUGAUGUGUGUGUCUGCAGGUUUGUACCAGAGCCAGCAGUAAGGACUGGAAAGGGCAAGACUUUGCACGACGUCUUUUCAACAAUCCAGCGAAACCAGGAGAGGGAGUUCCAGUUGUGGCUCAGUGGUAACGAACCGGACUAGUACCCAUGAGGAUGCAAGUUUGAUCCUUGGCCCCAUUCAGUGGGUUAAGGAUCUGGUGUUCCCAUGAGUGGUGUGGGUCGCAGAUGUGGCUGGGAUCCCGAGUUGCUGUGGCUCUGGUGUAGGCCAGUGGCUACUGCUCUGAUUAGACCCCUAGCCUGGGAACCUCCAUAUGCCAUGAGUGGGGCCCUAAAAAGCAAAAAAUGAAACAAAACAAAACAAAAACCAAACCAAAACAAACGAACAGAACAGGAGAGAAGGGGGUACCUGCUGUGACCCAGAAUCCCUCUCAUGCUGUGGUCCUCUUCCUCCACCUCUUAUGUGGUGUGGGUUAAGGGGAGAAUUGUCACAGGAUAUCACCCUACUGUCCCAUCUUCCCUGUGCUCCUAUCCCCACCCAACUCCAAAUACUUCUCUAAGCCACUCAAACCCACAGGAGUAGGAAAGGGGUGCGUUGUUUGGGGGAGGGGCAGUCCCACGUGCCCCAUCUGGGGGAAAGGGCUGACUUUUUGGACCUGAGCCUAAGCGCUUUCUGUCCAUGCCAAGGGCUGCCUCCUGCAUCUGGGCCUGUGGGGUUAGAAGAGCUGCCAAAAUCCUAAACUGGGCAAUGACAGUGGACAGCCUAGAUCUUGGCCACUGACUCUGCCUCAGCCCUAGGGUCAUUCGGGACGUCUCUGGAGUUCCUUCCCCCCGCCAGGCCCUGGAACAGCCAUCCAGGCUCUGAAGUAGACUUGAGAAAGGCAUAAAGAAACCCCACAAGUCCCCUGUUUCAACCUAAAAGCCCUUCCAGGGGCAGGAACCCCAAGUGAGUGAAAAAGUACAAUUCACCAUUAAGCGGGAGUGUGGAGAAUCCCAUCCAGGGCUGUUUCUGGAUGGGACUUGCCCCCAACACUUGCAGUGCAGCCAACAGGAGUAUUUGUCCUUUCUCAAAAGACGAAGCCUGAAACCCUUUGCCUCCUUGUUCCAGAGAUCCAUUCGGCCCUAAACAGCCAGCCUUCCUUCCAGGAUUGCCUGUAGCCCUGAGCAACAGGUGGCUUAUUUCAGGCUGAAGGACAAGAGGCCUACUACCCCUGUGCCAAGGACGUCCCGCGGGGUCCUCACCUUUGAGCCCCGCCCACCAACCAAUGAGGACUCACAGAGGUGACGUCACUACAUCCUGUUUCCCAGCCCAGCCGGGAGCAUGGGACCCGGUGGGGAAAAGAGCCAAUGUAAAUGACGGAUGCCACGACCAUGUUGGUAAAGACGUGGAAGGCAAAUGAGUCAGCAGCAAGUUUAAGCAACGAACAAUUGCACCACGGGGUGUUUCUCAAAUUCUUGUCUACUUUUAGAAAGUAUGCAAUGCCAUCCGGUUGAGCGUCUUGGUUCUGAAAUAGCUACAGAAAAUGUUAAAAAUGCUGUGGGUGAAGAUGUGCCCACAUGUAUCGCUCUUCUAAAACAAUAGUUAACAAUGGCACAGCGUGUCCUCGGCACAUCUUUUCAUCUUGCUGUACCUUAGUUUCCUCACCCGGAACAUGAGCGGAAUGUGUGCACAUUGUCUUGGGAGAUUCCUUUCGGUCUGACGGUCCAUGUUAUGGUAUCAUGCUCACAGUCUUAAUACUCAGACUGGGUCUACACAGUGCCAAGACCACUAGCCAGUUCAGUGAGUGUGGACAAAAUGUUCUCUCCAAUCAAUUCCUUGGCACCAUGUGGCUAAAACAGCCAGGCCUAUGUGUGAAUAGAGAUGGUGGGAGUAUAAGAAAAAGGACAACUCAUUAUUGAUGUUUCAGAUGCCGUCAUGUUAUGGAUGACACUGGCAGGGACCCCAAGGGAUGAGACCUAUCUCUGCUGGAGAACGUUGGGCAUCUUAAUAGAUAAGAUAAUGAAGCGAAGCCUUAACAGCAAACACUCAUUAAACUUUAACGAUUUCUAUCUACCCUCGUCCCACAAGCAGCUUCCACACAUGCCUCUGCGCAGCUGUGGCCUCAGGACUGAGGCGCAGUGUAGACCGUGUUCAUCGGAACGGCGUUGGAUGACUUUAUUGACCAACUCGGCUCAGCUUUUCUAAGGGGAAAAGCUCUGUUCGUACCAAAGGCUUCUCCAGGCCCUUCCCCAACACCUCUGAUUAAACAGGCUGAGCUCCCCAGAGAACAAUCCGCACCAGGAUGCAGCGAAGCCCAGCAGUGGUCUUUCCUGAUGCUCUGGUCCUCCUCGCCCUGCCCGCUGACGGAUGACUCCGCUCCGUGACUUUACUGAACUCCAGUUCGCCCACCUCCCCACACUCGUGUCCUCGGCUGUGAGCAGGCGCACUUGUGACCUGGGAGAGAACCCAAACCAACACCGACCCUGACCCCUGACGGGAGUGUUAGACUCGCAGCAGAGUCAGAUGGGAGCUGCAGGGCAAGGCUCCCCUUACAUGUGGUCUGAACCCAGGGGAGUUCACCUCGCUGAGUUAAACUCGAUGUGCUGUGACUGCCGGGCCAUGGUGCUUCGUAUCUGACUCCCAAGGGACUCUCCCUCAAGUGACUGCAAGCUCCUUGGGCACUUUUCUAUUUUGGCAUCCCCUGGGAUCAUGCAGAGCACAGAGGGAUGCUCAGGCAGAAAGCACUUUGUGUCUCUGUGUCACCUUUUGGUUAAAAGGACUUUAAAAGUCAUGUUCUGGGAUGGCCUGCUUUGUACCUACCAGAGAGCAGGGUUUGCAGAGUCAGGCGACUUUAGGGGUCUGCUUACACUCUAACCUGAUCAGGGACCUGGUUGCUAAGCGACCUUUCAAUGGAGAUUAGUGAUAACAAACUCAGCAAAGAGCUGAGGCUUGAGAAAGGAAU